GUUCUGAGUUCUCUAUUCUCUACAUGAGCUCCCAACAGUGUACUGCUUCACAGCCAUUGACCUUACUGGUAGAUAUCCCUGGAAAGUUUCCAGCUCUCAGUUUACUUGAAAUGACUUUCAUGAAGCAGAGAAAAUUGAUUGGGAAGAAAAUUUGCCAGCGUUCAGCUUGAACAGGAAAACUGCUGUGGUGUAUGACAAAGGUACUGGAGAAAUAGCAUAUAAGGGAAGGAUGAAACUAAACCAGGAAUGGAUGAACUUCUGUGGCUACAGGGCUACAGGGAAUGGAAAAACAAGAUACCCUACAUAGCAGGGAGAAGCAUUUGCAAGCCACUUCAAGGGCAACUGUGUGGAAGAGUUUCAGCACAAUAUUGAUGUGGUCAAGACACUUGAGGUCAUGUGCAGAGAAUGGAUCAGAGGAUGGCAAGUCUGAAUGUUUGGAGACUGGUUCUUAAGCCAUGAGAUUUUCUACGUCUUGGUGGAGAGAGUAAGAAAUGAUGUGAGCAGGAAGUCUAUAAAUCUUUGGGUGGUGAUUCUAAAACUGUAGGUAAGUGGCUAUAGUAUUUUAUUUCUACAAUGAGUAUAUGUGUGGUGCUUCUCCCACAAGCUCAUAUAUCCAAAUGUUUGGUCCCCAGUUGAUGGAGCUGUUUGGGAAGGAUUUGGAGGUGUGGACUUGUUGGCGGAGGUGUGUCACUGGGGCUGCGUUUUGGGAUUUCAAAAGUACAAGCCAAGCCAAGUUUCUUUCACUGCUGCCUACUUGCAACAUAGAUGUAAGCUCUCAGAUACUGUUCCAGUGUUUGUCUGCUGCUCUGCUCCCUGUCAUGAUGUCAUGCAUUAACCCAUUAAAAUUAUAAGCAAGCCCUCAAUUAAAUGCUUUAGUUUUAUUGGGUGCCCUGGUCAUGGUGUCCCUUCACAGAACUAUGAAAAUAUCUAAGACAGCAUGUCAUUUCACAUGUAUCAAAACCCACAAAAUACACAGCACACAGAAUAAAUACCAAUGCAUGGCCAUGAUAUAGUUAAAAGCAGUAUCGAUACUGGCUCAUUAGUUUAUGUUAUGUUAUAUGUAUGAGAUAUGUGAUGGCUUGUGCGAUAAAAAUACACAUGCACAU
Rattus norvegicus (Norway rat) is the source of this 1106-nucleotide non-coding RNA. Lineage: Eukaryota; Metazoa; Chordata; Mammalia; Rodentia; Muridae. The record is from RefSeq and is a predicted model, not a curated record.